GACGAACGCUGGCGGCGUGCCUAAUACAUGCAAGUCGAACGAAGCUGUUUUAACUGGUGCUUACACCGACUUAAACAACUGAGUGGCGAACGGGUGAGUAACACGUGGGUAACCUGCCCCAAAGCGGGGGAUAACAUUUGGAAACAGAUGCUAAUACCGCAUAACCACAGAAACCACAUGGUUUCUGUGUCAAAGAUGGUUUCGGCUAUCACUUUGGGAUGGACCCGCGGCGUAUUAGCUAGUUGGUAAGGUAAUGGCUUACCAAGGCAAUGAUACGGAGCCGAACUGGAGGGUUGAUCGGCCACAUUGGGACUGAGACACGGCCCAAGCUCCUACGGGAGGCAGCAGUAGGGAAUCUUCCACAAUGGACGAAAGUCUGAUGGAGCAACGCCGCGUGAGUGAAGAAGGUUUUCGGAUCGUAAAACUCUGUUGUCAGAGAAGAACGUGUGCGAGAGUAACUGCUCGUGCAGUGACGGUAUCUGGCCAGAAAGCCACGGCUAACUACGUGCCAGCCGCCGCCGUAA
This 524-nucleotide ribosomal RNA is filed under the name uncultured bacterium. RNAcentral's name for it is "partial 16S ribosomal RNA". It matches the Rfam family "Bacterial small subunit ribosomal RNA", at positions 28 to 523 of the family's 1533-position model. The record is from RNAcentral.